Molecule: ribosomal RNA, 460 nt
Filed under: uncultured bacterium
Lineage: Bacteria
Description: partial 16S ribosomal RNA
Rfam family: Bacterial small subunit ribosomal RNA
Source: RNAcentral
CCUACGGGAGGCAGCAGUGAGGAAUAUUGGUCAAUGGACGAGAGUCUGAACCAGCCAAGUAGCGUGAAGGAUGACUGCCCUAUGGGUUGUAAACUUCUUUUAUAUGGGAAUAAAACGUUCCACGUGUGGGAUUUUGUAUGUACCAUCUGAAUAAGGAUCGGCUAACUCCGUGCCAGCAGCCGCGGUAAUACGGAGGGUCCGAGCGUUAUCCGGAUUUAUUGGGUUUAAAGGGAGCGUAGGUGGAUUGUUAAGUCAGUUGUGAAAGUUUGCGGCUCAACCGUAAAAUUGCAGUUGAAACUGGCAGUCUUGAGUACAGUAGAGGUGGGCGGAAUUCGUGGUGUAGCGGUGAAAUGCUUAGAUAUCACGAAGAACUCCGAUUGCGAAGGCAGUUCACUGGACUGCAACUGACACUGAGGCUCGAAAGUGUGGGUAUCAAACAGGAUUAGAUACCCUGGUAGUC